AGCGAUAAAGGCAAACCCUGAGUGAUCAGGGGACGCAAAGUAAAGGGUCUUUAGACUUACAGGGAAGUAGGGAUAAAGAAGACAGCCUUAAUUCAGAAAAAGACAGCCUUACUGCCGGAG
Molecule: non-coding RNA, 120 nt
Filed under: Candidatus Brocadia
Lineage: Bacteria; Pseudomonadati; Planctomycetota; Candidatus Brocadiia; Candidatus Brocadiales; Candidatus Brocadiaceae
Also listed under: 1 other name
Description: c-di-GMP sequence
Rfam family: c-di-GMP-I-GGC riboswitch aptamer
Source: RNAcentral